CCUACGGGAGGCAGCAGUGGGGAAUUUUGGACAAUGGGCGCAAGCCUGAUCCAGCAAUGCCGCGUGAGUGAGGAAGGCCUUCGGGUUGUAAAGCUCUUUUGUCAGGGAAGAAACGGUGGAGGUUAAUACCUUCUGCUAAUGACGGUACCUGAAGAAUAAGCACCGGCUAACUACGUGCCAGCAGCCGCGGUAAUACGUAGGGUGCAAGCGUUAAUCGGAAUUACUGGGCGUAAAGCGUGCGCAGGCGGUUGUGCAAGACAGAUGUGAAAUCCCCGGGCUCAACCUGGGAAUUGCAUUUGUGACUGUACGGCUAGAGUGUGUCAGAGGGGGGUAGAAUUCCACGUGUAGCAGUGAAAUGCGUAGAGAUGUGGAGGAAUACCGAUGGCGAAGGCAGCCCCCUGGGGAUAACACUGACGCUCAUGCACGAAAGCGUGGGGAGCAAACAGGAUUAGAUACCCUGGUAGUCCACGCCCUAAACGAUGUCUACUAGUUGUCGGGUCUUUAUUGACUUGGUAACGCAGCUAACGCGUGAAGUAGACCGCCUGGGGAGUACGGUCGCAAGAUUAAAAACUCAAAAGGAAAUUGACGG
Molecule: ribosomal RNA, 589 nt
Filed under: uncultured bacterium
Lineage: Bacteria
Description: bacterial SSU rRNA
Rfam family: Bacterial small subunit ribosomal RNA
Source: RNAcentral